Molecule: long non-coding RNA, 504 nt
Filed under: Pan troglodytes (chimpanzee)
Lineage: Eukaryota; Metazoa; Chordata; Mammalia; Primates; Hominidae
Description: lincRNA
Source: RNAcentral
AAUUGGCAAACAUUUUCUCUAAAGCUCAACACAGUAAAUAUUUUAAGCUUUACAGGGCCAUACCAAACAGGUGCUGGACCAGACCUGGACUCCCUGGGGCCACAGAGCUUCAUUUGAACUAAGUAGAAGACUACUCUGGUUAGGGAGGCAAUCGGUAAAGAAAAUGAAGCAUCCAUCUAGCAUCAUCCCACUGGGAGGAAAGAAGGAGAGCAAAAGAAGGUAAACAAUAGCAAAAAAAUCUCUGAAGGAGUAAAUCAAGAUGGAGUUGAUGGAUAAGGAGGAACAAAACUACUCCAAUUAUCUGGAACUUACACUAAAUGAAAAGCAAGUCUCCAAGAUAGAAGCUGAGCAUGACAAACAAAUGCUGACAAUAUCAGGUAGUGCUUCAGUUCAACUAUGAGGGAUUCUUUCUCCCACAACUUCCCUACUCCAGGAACUUGGAAAGUGGAUCAUCUCUGACAGCUAAAUUCCAAAACAAACACUUAGCAGAUUGGAACAUAAUUA